RNAcentral lists this ribosomal RNA (465 nucleotides) under Vreelandella stevensii. RNAcentral describes it as "partial 16S ribosomal RNA". It matches the Rfam family "Bacterial small subunit ribosomal RNA", at positions 338 to 795 of the family's 1533-position model. The record is from RNAcentral. Lineage: Bacteria; Pseudomonadati; Pseudomonadota; Gammaproteobacteria; Oceanospirillales; Halomonadaceae.
CCUACGGGCGGCAGCAGUGGGGAAUAUUGGACAAUGGGGGGAACCCUGAUCCAGCCAUGCCGCGUGUGUGAAGAAGGCCCUCGGGUUGUAAAGCACUUUCAGUGAGGAAGAACGCCUGGUGGUUAAUACCCAUCAGGAAAGACAUCACUCACAGAAGAAGCACCGGCUAACUCCGUGCCAGCAGCCGCGGUAAUACGGAGGGUGCGAGCGUUAAUCGGAAUUACUGGGCGUAAAGCGCGCGUAGGUGGCUUGAUAAGCCGGUUGUGAAAGCCCCGGGCUCAACCUGGGAACGGCAUCCGGAACUGUCAAGCUAGAGUGCAGGAGAGGAAGGUAGAAUUCCCGGUGUAGCGGUGAAAUGCGUAGAGAUCGGGAGGAAUACCAGUGGCGAAGGCGGCCUUCUGGACUGACACUGACACUGAGGUGCGAAAGCGUGGGUAGCAAACAGGAUGAGAUACCCGAGUAGUC